GCUGAGCGCCACCUAUUACGAAAGGUUUGACAUUGAGUGCUACCUCUUAGAGCUAGUAUGCAUGUUGUGUUUUUCUUAUGCUAUAACUUGUUUGAGAUUGAUUUAUUAUGGUUCUUAUAUAUGUUUAAGAUGUAUGAUGAUGUUAUAUUGAAGAAUAAUAUGGUUGAGAAUAUGAUUUGAAAUGUUUGAGAAAACUUUAAGGAGAAAUUAUGUCAUAUG
This 219-nucleotide long non-coding RNA is filed under the name Vigna radiata. Its description in RNAcentral is "long non-coding RNA (VRAD_LNC000353)". The record is from RNAcentral. Lineage: Eukaryota; Viridiplantae; Streptophyta; Magnoliopsida; Fabales; Fabaceae.